CCUUUGACCAUAAAAGUAAUUAUAGAAUUUGCUAGAGGAAGAGAAUAAGAGCUGACAUCAUCGCUAUCAUUAUUGAUGGAAGCUUCAAACUGAGCCAAGUGAUUGUUAAUGUUUCCAAGGUCAACAAAGCCAAUCAGUCUACCAUCAUGUCUAUAAUAAAUAAAUAAAUAUUAAAUUGUUUAGCUCACUGUCUGAUAGCAUUUGUUGUCCAAAUGGAAACUUCAUAUCAAAGUUUUUAUAAUAAUUAUCAGAAUUCGACUAUUUUAAUUAAUAACACAAAGAGAGAGAGGUUUAAAGUAUGCUAGCAUUGCUAUAUCUUACUGUUGUCAAGUUUUUUGUCUAUAAUAUUUAAUAUUAUAGACAAAACAAAUCUCUACUACUCUAAACAUGCAAAAACUUCAGACUAGCUUUUCUUUAUCAGAUGGAGUCCCACAAAGACAAAAGGCAUAACAAGCGCUACUGGCAGUAUUAUAAUACAUUUCCGUAUAAAAGACCCUUAUUAUUAUAGAUUUGCUACGUAAGUAGCUAAUAAUAACUUUACCUUGUGCCCUUUUGGUCUAUUGUUGAAGAAACAGUCCCACAAAUUUAUACAAGAGCAAGAACUAUUGCGCCUGUGUUUACAUAGAUAAGAGAGCCAAGCGCACAAACAAGGAUAGCUCACGCCUAUUUAUAGAAUGCGUGGGCGGUUUCCAAUCCCUGUGGGUGUAAUAUCUAUGAUUUAAAUGUAUUGUAUUUAUUUUUGAGGUUACUUGAAGUAAGAGGAUGUUAUUAUGAGCUGUUAACUCAUUGUAUACCACCUGAUAUUAUUUUUAAAAGGAUAUUAAAUGAGCUGGUUGCUACAUGUAACUGUGAUGGCACAUUGAAAGCUAAAGUGACUCAAUUAGCAGCUCAGUAUCAAGCUCAGUCACAACUGGGUAGUAAAGCAAUCUUUCAUCUUGAGGCCUUCACAGCAAAAUUUAUGAGAAUAUAUAAACAAUUUUUAGAGGAAGGACUGGAGAGUAUGGACUUCUGAUGUAAUGCAUGCCAUGAUAGACAGUAGAGAUUUUUGAACACAAAUAAUAUACUCAUUAUUUUGUCACACUAUGUACCCAUUAUGGUAUUUAGCUUAGCCAUA
Molecule: long non-coding RNA, 1114 nt
Organism: Amphimedon queenslandica
Lineage: Eukaryota; Metazoa; Porifera; Demospongiae; Haplosclerida; Niphatidae
Exons: 2
Source: RefSeq, a predicted model, not a curated record